GUUUCAAAUGAUGAUUAUGGAUGUCAUUUUCUCACGACGGUCGUCUGAGAUUUUUCAACAUUAUAUUUUUCAAUUUUAUAUUUUGAAGGUA
Humulus lupulus (European hop) is the source of this 91-nucleotide small nucleolar RNA. RefSeq annotates it as small nucleolar RNA Z161/Z228. Lineage: Eukaryota; Viridiplantae; Streptophyta; Magnoliopsida; Rosales; Cannabaceae. The transcript has a single exon. The record is from RefSeq and is a predicted model, not a curated record.